CAAAAAUGAAGAAUUAUAUCUUCUCAGGACA
This 31-nucleotide transfer RNA is filed under the name Apodemus hermonensis (Mt. Hermon field mouse). RNAcentral's name for it is "partial tRNA-Thr". The record is from RNAcentral. Lineage: Eukaryota; Metazoa; Chordata; Mammalia; Rodentia; Muridae.